CUCUUAAUGCUUAUAUGAGGAUGCCUCCUUUACAGACACUAUAACUCUUCUCCAACUUAGUUAAUCCUUUUAUGAAACGUUUGCCUCUCCUGUCCGCCACGUACUGUUCAGGUGAACAGUAGCCCUUCGGGACACUUUCCUCAUUUCCCAUUAUCUCUCGCACCUACUGAAGCCGCCUAAAGACCUCUGUAUAGAGUAAUCACUGGACGUGAAGACCUUUGAGUCCCGGUCAGCACA
Bufo bufo (common toad) is the source of this 237-nucleotide long non-coding RNA. RefSeq lists it as uncharacterized. NCBI's taxonomy places the organism in Eukaryota, Metazoa, Chordata, Amphibia, Anura, Bufonidae. The record is from RefSeq and is a predicted model, not a curated record. The transcript has 3 exons.